This 635-nucleotide ribosomal RNA is filed under the name uncultured Chloroflexota bacterium. RNAcentral's name for it is "bacterial SSU rRNA". It matches the Rfam family "Bacterial small subunit ribosomal RNA", at positions 836 to 1482 of the family's 1533-position model. The record is from RNAcentral. Lineage: Bacteria; Bacillati; Chloroflexota.
CCUGUCGGUGCCGAAGCCAACGGCGUUAAGCCCUCCGCCUGGGGACUACGAACGCAAGUUUAAAACUCAAAGGAAUAGACGGGGGCCCGCACAAGCAGCGGAGCGUGUGGUUCAAUUCGAUGUAACACGAAGAACCUUACCAGGGCUUGACAUGUAUGUGGUAGGAAAGUGAAAGCGGACCGACCCGCAAGGGAGCGUACACAGGUGCUGCAUGGCCGUCGUCAGCUCGUGCCGUGAGGUGUUGGGUUAAGUCCCGCAACGAGCGCAACCCCUUUCGCUAGUUACAUGUGUCUAGCGAUACUGCCGGAUUAACUCCGGAGGAAGGCGGGGAUGACGUCAAGUCAGCAUGGCCUUUAUGUCCUGGGCUACACACACGCUACAAUGGGUGCUACAGAGCGUUGCCAAGCCGCGAGGCGGAGCUAAUCGCACAAAAGCAUCCUCAGUUCAGAUUGCAGGCUGCAACCCGCCUGCAUGAAGUCGGAGUUGCUAGUAAACGCGCGUCAGCUAUAGUGCGUUGAAUGCGUUCCCGGGCCUUAUACUCACCGCCCGUCACGUGAUGGAAGCCGGUAACACUUGAAGUCGGUGACUGAACCGCAAGGACAGAGCCGCCGAGGGUGGGACUGGUAACUGGCACG